RNAcentral lists this ribosomal RNA (370 nucleotides) under Escherichia coli. RNAcentral's name for it is "bacterial SSU rRNA". It matches the Rfam family "Bacterial small subunit ribosomal RNA", at positions 1 to 367 of the family's 1533-position model. The record is from RNAcentral. Lineage: Bacteria; Pseudomonadati; Pseudomonadota; Gammaproteobacteria; Enterobacterales; Enterobacteriaceae.
AAAUUGAAGAGUUUGAUCAUGGCUCAGAUUGAACGCUGGCGGCAGGCCUAACACAUGCAAGUCGAACGGUAACAGGAAGAAGCUUGCUUCUUUGCUGACGAGUGGCGGACGGGUGAGUAAUGUCUGGGAAACUGCCUGAUGGCGGGGGAUAACUACUGGAAACGGUAGCUAAUACCGCAUAACGUCGCAAGACCAAAGAGGGGGACCUUCGGGCCUCUUGCCAUCGGAUGUGCCCAGAUGGGAUUAGCUUGUUGGUGGGGUAACGGCUCACCAAGGCGACGAUCCCUAGCUGGUCUGAGAGGAUGACCAGCCACACUGGAACUGAGACACGGUCCAGACUCCUACGGGAGGCAGCAGUGGGGAAUAUUGC